UCGCGAAACCUUUGCAAUACACGAAAGUGUGACAGGGCUAUCCCGAGUGCCAUCCGCUGAGGAAGGCUUUUACCCAGUCUAGAAAGCUGGGGGAAUAAGGAGAGGGCAAGUCUGGUGUCAGCCGCCGCGGUAAUACCAGCUCUCCGAGUGGUGUGGAUGUUUAUUGGGCCUAAAGCAUCCGUAGCUGGCUAGGUAAGUCCCUUGUUAAAUCCACCGAAUUAAUCGUUGGAUCGCGGGGGAUACUGCUUGGCUAGGGGACGAGAGAGGCAGACGGUAUUUUUGGGGUAGGGGUGAAAUCCUAUAAUCCCAGGAAGACCACCAGUGGCGAAGGCUGUCUGCUAGAACGCGCCCGACGGUGAGGGAUGAAAGCUGGGGGAGCGAACCGGAUUAGAUACCCGGGUAGUCCCAGCUGUAAACGAUGCAGGCUAGGUGUUUGGACGGCCACGUGCCGUUCUAGUGCCGCAGGGAAGCUGUUAAGCCUGCCGCCUGGGGAGUACGAUCGCAAGAUUGAAACUUAAAGGAAUUGGCGGGGG
This 533-nucleotide ribosomal RNA is filed under the name uncultured miscellaneous Crenarchaeota group. RNAcentral's name for it is "bacterial SSU rRNA". It matches the Rfam family "Archaeal small subunit ribosomal RNA", at positions 339 to 874 of the family's 1478-position model. The record is from RNAcentral. Lineage: Archaea; Thermoproteati; Candidatus Bathyarchaeota.